RNAcentral lists this ribosomal RNA (254 nucleotides) under uncultured bacterium. RNAcentral describes it as "partial 16S ribosomal RNA". It matches the Rfam family "Bacterial small subunit ribosomal RNA", at positions 524 to 776 of the family's 1533-position model. The record is from RNAcentral.
UACGUAGGGUGCAAGCGUUGUCCGGAAUUAUUGGGCGUAAAGAGCUCGUAGGCGGUUUGUUGCGUCGGCUGUGAAAUCCCGAGGCUCAACCUCGGGUCUGCAGUCGAUACGAGCAAACUAGAGUGUUGCAGGGGAGACUGGAAUUCCUGGUGUAGCGGUGGAAUGCGCAGAUAUCAGGAGGAACACCGAUGGCGAAGGCAGGUCACUGGGCCGCAACUGACGCUGAGGAGCGAAAGCCAUGGGGAGCGAACAGG